Trifolium pratense (red clover) is the source of this 1034-nucleotide long non-coding RNA. RefSeq lists it as uncharacterized. The record is from RefSeq and is a predicted model, not a curated record. The transcript has 3 exons. Lineage: Eukaryota; Viridiplantae; Streptophyta; Magnoliopsida; Fabales; Fabaceae.
GACGGCCCCUGACCGUCACAAUUGUCAAACGGUCCAUUCAUUACUGACGGCCUGCAGCCGUCGUAAUGUGUCACACCUUUUCCGUCUUUCAAGAAGCAUUACCGACGGCCCUUGACCGCCACAAAUGCUCAUUUUGACCGUUUUGAAUUUUUACGUCCUCCAAGAUGCAUUACUGACGGCCAUUAUACAUUAUUGACGGCUGGGAGCCUUCAAUAACUCACAAAUACAUUACUGAGGGCCUUUAGCCCUCAAUAAGUUUGGUCAAGAAUAACAUGUUUUCUUGUAGUGUGUGUGUGUGUAUUUAGUGUAGGAUAUUUGUUUGUUGAAAAUGCUAUUGUGGUGCAUAAUUGUAUGCCUAUGUGUAAGUCGUUUGAGUUCUGUUUAGUGUAGAUUCAAGUGUGAAUUGUGAAACUAGUAAUGAAUUUAAAAUUAUAACUGUGAAGUGUAAAUGUUGAAGUUCUUCAAUACUAGUUUCAUUUUGUUUUGCUAGUUCUCAGUGUUUUAUUCUUAUUUUUCAGUUCUUUCAUAUGUGAGGAGAUCAUAUACUGGUGAUAUUUACCACGUCUUUAAAAAAAUCAUACAGGUACCAAGCUACCAAGCUUACUUUGCACAUGUAACUUAUUUUAUGGUAAAACUUGUAUGUAUCUGCAAUUGUAAAUGAUUCAGGAAGAUAAUAGGUAUGCCUCAAAUCACACAUUGGGAAUGGAUCUGCCACUCUUAGGUAAACAACAAGUCAGACUGGGGCCAUGUCAGUGAUGCCAUAGUUGUUUAGCUAAGGUAGUUUGAGGCCUUCCUUUUUCAAUGAAGUGGGUGGUUCUCAUCAAGUGAUAAGUCGUAGAAGAAAGUAGGGCUAGAGUUUGACAAUAUCUUUUGUAUUGGUCUUUGUGUUUGUACUAAAAUUUGUCAUUGAUUUUCUCAUAAGAAAGUAUGGCCAAAGUUUGACAAUAUCUCUUUUGUAGUGGUCUUUGUGUGUGUACUAUUCAAUUCGGAUUUGUCUCGUAGUCGGCUUCGUAUUGUUUAUGAAAUGAAUGUAU